UCUGGAUUCAGGUAGGGGAAGUGUGUCUGGAAAACUCCUAAGAGAAGUUCAUACUCCUCUGGGAUUGGGACCAGAAAGCACAUUCUCUGUGGCCUCCAAAUCUGCAAGCCACAAGUUUAGUGGUUACCAGAUCUUAAUUUCAGUGGAGAUAAACCUCCCAUGUGAGAGGUGCCCUCCCAGAAGCCAGAGGAAGACAUUCUCAUUAUCCAGGACAAGAGGCUGAGACUCAGUGAAUGCCACACAGAGACCUCGUUAAAAUUAUUCUGAUUUCCUGGCACCUCCCCAGUUUGGUCAUUUCCCCACAACUGCCUCUCUUUGUUCAAUCCCACAGAAAAGCAAGUAGGGUUUACCAUGUCCCUGGGUCUUCAUUUCCAUGUAAAGGCUCCAGUGUCAUGUAA
Molecule: long non-coding RNA, 398 nt
Organism: Suricata suricatta (meerkat)
Lineage: Eukaryota; Metazoa; Chordata; Mammalia; Carnivora; Herpestidae
Exons: 2
Source: RefSeq, a predicted model, not a curated record